GUGGGAGGGCCCAGGCGCGGGCAGGGGUGGGGGUGGCAGAGCGCUGUCCCGGGGGCGGGGCCGAAGCGCGGCGACCGUAACUCCUUCUGCUCCGUCCCCCAG
Molecule: microRNA precursor, 102 nt
Organism: Homo sapiens (human)
Lineage: Eukaryota; Metazoa; Chordata; Mammalia; Primates; Hominidae
Product: microRNA 1237
Source: Ensembl